UUACGGCAGUUCGGGAAUGUACCCGCAGCUUCUAGAACCCUCCAUUCUCCCCACGUAUAAGGCCGCGCCCCGCGAUCCAAGCAGCAGCAGCCAUAGCCCCCGCCAGCUCGCCGCCGCCGCCAUGUUCGGCGUCGUCUUCCCGGACCACAGCUUCCCGCUCGACGUCACCGCCUUCGCGCAGGUGGCGCCCAACUCCUGGGCGCUCGACCUCUCCACGCUCUCCCUCGCCGCCGCCCCGCGCUCCGCCGUCGUCUUCCUGCUCCCGGCCGCCGCCGCCGCGCUCCCGCCGGGGAAGGCCGUCGCCGUCUACUUCCAGCCCGCCGCCAACCGCCCCUUCGCGUUCCUCGGCGCGCUCGGCCCGGGCCGCCCCUCCGCGAGCCUCCCGCUCCCGGAGGCCGGCGACGAACCGGAGCCCCCCCUCGGCCCCGCCAAGCUCGGCGUCGCCGUGGAGGACGCGGCGGCGCUCCCUCCGCCCCCCGACGGGCAGCGCGCCGAGCGUGUCGCGCUCCGCGUCGGCGAGAACCUGUUCAACUUCAUGCAGUCGUUCUGCGGCGCCGACGGCGGCAAGCUGGUGGUGCCCACGGACAUCCUCGACCGGUGGUUCCGCAAGUUCCAGGAGCGGGCCAAGAAGGAUCCCUCGUAUCUCAAGACAUUCGACUUUUGAGAGCGAAGAUCAGUAGACAUUGAAAGGUUUAGCCUUCGCUGGUGUGCUGUUGCUCCCCUUUUCUUGGGUUAUUUUGCAGUUCAUUGCAAACUGCAUGUCGGCAGAAAGGGUUGGUUAGUAGAGUUUUGUAUUUGUAGACCAUCUAUCAGUUCUGUAUUUCUAGACAGAAAUUAACUUGUCAUUCAGGGACUGGAUUCAAUCAUGGUUGCCAGUUUUUUUUUUCUUUUUUUUUCUGUACUUCUAGUACUCCUAGAGAAGUGGUACCAAAAGCCAGAACCACAAGAAGGUACUUGCGUCAAAAGAUGAAAUCGUGUUGCCAAACUGUACAGUAAUACAAUUGAACUUUGCUACUGCGUGUCAACUUUAUCUUGGAGUUGCCGUUUCAUGCUAAGAAAGGGGUAAUUCUCAAGUUGUUUACUGUUCUGCUGUUCACUGGCGUUUUAGCUACUACACAGGCUUGUUCUUUACACAUGUCAGGCCUCCCUAUAUCUUUGGAAGACCAAAAUGCAGCAAGGGUGUUGUAAAAUGUACUCCCUCCGUCAGCAAAAGGUAAUUUGCUUCUUUCUGGUCCAAAAUAGGGGUGCUGGCCAAAUAUUUCCUCAGUUGAAGACUAUCAGAGCUUCUAUCGCAAUGAAAGAUUAUCAGAGCUUCUAUCUCCUCUGCUUUUUGGAGGAUUUGGAAUCACAAAAACAACGUUAUCUUCAAUAAUCAACCACCAUCAGGUGCGUGAAUUUUACAUCAAAGAAGCAGAUGGACCGGCCCUAGAUGGGUGGAAGGCUGUCUUCUCAAUUGCUAUUUCUUCGGGCUCCUCCCAUGUUUAAUUCUGUUUCUUUCUCUUUAUUAUGUACUAGUAUGCUCCCUCCUUGUUUUCUUCUUUCCUGUAUUUUAAUUACCCGUUGUAAGCGACUUGGUUACUCCAUUAGGAGGAGCUUAUAUCAAUAUAAUUCAAUAUUCGCCCAAA
This is an RNA transcript of Oryza sativa Japonica Group (Japanese rice), 1625 nucleotides long. RefSeq lists it as uncharacterized. The record is from RefSeq and is a predicted model, not a curated record. NCBI's taxonomy places the organism in Eukaryota, Viridiplantae, Streptophyta, Magnoliopsida, Poales, Poaceae.